This 253-nucleotide ribosomal RNA is filed under the name uncultured bacterium. RNAcentral describes it as "partial 16S ribosomal RNA". It matches the Rfam family "Bacterial small subunit ribosomal RNA", at positions 524 to 776 of the family's 1533-position model. The record is from RNAcentral.
UACGUAGGGUGCAAGCGUUAAUCGGAAUUACUGGGCGUAAAGCGUGCGUAGGUGGUUCGUUAAGUCUGUCGUGAAAGCCCCGGGCUCAACCUGGGAAUGGCGAUGGAUACUGGCGGGCUAGAGUGCGGUAGAGGAGAGUGGAAUUCCCGGUGUAGCAGUGAAAUGCGUAGAGAUCGGGAGGAACAUCAGUUGCGAAGGCGGCUCUCUGGGCCUUACCUGACGCUGAGGAGCGAAAGCGUGGGGAGCGAACAGG